GUGCUCGCUUUGACAGCUUGUAUACUAAAAUUGGAAUAAUACGGAGAACAUUAACAUGGCCCCUGCUCAAGGAUGACAUGCAAAUUUGUGAAAAUUGAAUUU
Molecule: small nuclear RNA, 102 nt
Filed under: Colobus angolensis palliatus
Lineage: Eukaryota; Metazoa; Chordata; Mammalia; Primates; Cercopithecidae
Source: RNAcentral